Molecule: small RNA, 442 nt
Filed under: Histoplasma capsulatum
Lineage: Eukaryota; Fungi; Ascomycota; Eurotiomycetes; Onygenales; Ajellomycetaceae
Also listed under: 1 other name
Description: hypothetical RNA
Source: RNAcentral
GAACGCAACUUAUUAGGAGCGACAGCGAUUGGGCCUCCAUGUCAAACUUUCUCUGAAUCAGUAUUCUAGACGAAACCCAGUCCUGGUGGGAAGAAAAGGAAAAAGGAAAACCUAUUCACAAAUUUUGAUUCAGCUUGAAGUCAAAUCAAGACAAACCAUAAUGCCCCUUGGCUCCGAUAGCAUCAGAAAAACAGGGAUUGAUUGCCCCGUUCCGAGUUUCGAGACAAUUACACAUCAGAAAUGCCUUGAAGAAUCACCGUUUCUCUCAGUUCCAACUUAUGCGAAGCCAUUGGGGAAGCCAGUUUGACAUUGAUGGAUCCAGAACUGUGUAUUGACAAUCAUGCAAGUUUUGAAGCUUAUUUCUUGAAUAUGGGAAUUUUCAGGGACUUGGAAGCCACCACAAAGGACGAAAAAAAAAGAAAAGAAAUCACGCAACCAACCC